UCGCUGCAUGUGCAUGCACGGAGGGGGCUGGAAUGGUCACAGCAUAGAAACAGACGGUCUGGCUGAAUGCAUAGUUGGUGGCUGAGUUAAAUCAAAUUCAGUUGUUUAUCUUGUUGACAGUAUAUUUCCAGAAAUAGAGGAACGCAAAUUGACGGCUGGAAAUUGAACAUUCUUUACUUGAGUAUCACAUGCAAUAAGCUUUUCAUGCACGCGGGGACAUUCGUCGGUUCUAUAAAGGGAAAUGUACCAUCGUUUCUGUGAAAAUUAAAGAAAAGCUCUCAACAUACGCAAUAUAAAUGCGCAUAACUGAAUUGUAUUCCCAUGACCCACAUGGAUUUGAAAACAAUAAAAUGAUCUGUGGGCCGCAUUUCAUGUUUCGUUGACGUGAAGAUUUAUUAAUGCAAGGCUGAUCAAAAACAAUUGAAACCACGGUGGAAUAGGCUCCAACUCGUCCAAAUAUUCCGUAGAAGAGGUAACAGAAUAUUCUGGCAUUUUGGUGGUGGUGGAGUUGGUCGUGAUGUUGGUGGAGAAAUGUCGUCUUAAAC
Folsomia candida is the source of this 545-nucleotide long non-coding RNA. RefSeq lists it as uncharacterized. The transcript has 3 exons. NCBI's taxonomy places the organism in Eukaryota, Metazoa, Arthropoda, Collembola, Entomobryomorpha, Isotomidae. The record is from RefSeq and is a predicted model, not a curated record.